Molecule: ribosomal RNA, 654 nt
Filed under: Shewanella sp.
Lineage: Bacteria; Pseudomonadati; Pseudomonadota; Gammaproteobacteria; Alteromonadales; Shewanellaceae
Description: bacterial SSU rRNA
Rfam family: Bacterial small subunit ribosomal RNA
Source: RNAcentral
GCAGCAGUGGGGAAUAUUGCACAAUGGGCGAAAGCGUGAUGCAGCCAUGCCGCGUGUGUGAAGAAGGCCUUCGGGUUGUAAAGCACUUUCAGCGAGGAGGAAAGGUUAGUGAUUAAUACUCACUAGCUGUGACGUUACUCGCAGAAGAAGCACCGGCUAACUUCGUGCCAGCAGCCGCGGUAAUACGAGGGGUGCAAGCGUUAAUCGGAAUUACUGGGCGUAAAGCGUACGCAGGCGGUUUGUUAAGCGAGAUGUGAAAGCCCCGGGCUCAACCUGGGAACUGCAUUUCGAACUGGCAAACUAGAGUCUUGUAGAGGGGGGUAGAAUUUCAGGUGUAGCGGUGAAAUGCGUAGAGAUCUGAAGGAAUACCGGUGGCGAAGGCGGCCCCCUGGACAAAGACUGACGCUCAGGUACGAAAGCGUGGGGAGCAAACAGGAUUAGAUACCCUGGUAGUCCACGCCGUAAACGAUGUCUACUCGGAAUUUGGUGUCUUGAACACUGGGUUCUCAAGCUAACGCAUUAAGUAGACCGCCUGGGGAGUACGGCCGCAAGGUUAAAACUCAAAUGAAUUGACGGGGGCCCGCACAAGCGGUGGAGCAUGUGGUUUAAUUCGAUGCAACGCGAAGAACCUUACCUACUCUUGACAUCCUCAGA